AAAAAUAUCUGGAAACAGACUUUCUUUCGCUGCUUAAUUAGCUAAAUACUGCUAUCAGCGUGCACCUUAUAGGUUGGUCUUUGGCUUAUAAACGUGUAUCACAAACAAAGAAUAAGGUUCAUAAGGCGACUCACCGCGUGUUCCCGACAAUCCCAUUGAGUCAAUCAUCUCUUGCUUGUCAUGUCCUUAAGAGGUGAUUAAUAGCGAUAUGACUAAACUGUAGAACUUUGAAUGUGAGACACUUCUUGGACAGGAGUUCGACUCUCCUCAUCUCCACCA
Molecule: transfer-messenger RNA, 279 nt
Filed under: Erysipelotrichia bacterium
Lineage: Bacteria; Bacillati; Bacillota; Erysipelotrichia
Rfam family: transfer-messenger RNA
About the family: Bacterial tmRNA, also known as 10Sa RNA or SsrA, is named for its dual tRNA and mRNA-like properties. Its role is to liberate the mRNA from a stalled ribosome.
Source: Rfam by way of RNAcentral